This 490-nucleotide ribosomal RNA is filed under the name uncultured bacterium. RNAcentral describes it as "partial 16S ribosomal RNA". It matches the Rfam family "Bacterial small subunit ribosomal RNA", at positions 29 to 507 of the family's 1533-position model. The record is from RNAcentral.
AAUGAACGCUGGCGGCAUGCCUUACACAUGCAAGUCGAACGGCAGCAUGACCUACCUUGCUAGGUGACUGUCGAGUGGCGCACGGGUGUGUCAUGCAUCUGAACGUCCCUUUUGGUGGGGAAUAACGUGGCGAAAGGUACCCUAUUACGGCUUAUUUUCUGAGGAGGAAGGCUCGAUACUUUCAGACCGUUCUCUUGUAAAUCGUCGGAUGUCGGAUUAGCUAGUUGGUGAGGUAAAGGCUCACCAAGGCAACGAUCCGUAGCGGGUCUGAGAGGAUGAUCCGCCACACUGGGACUGAGACACGGCCCAGACUCCUACGGGAGGCAGCAGUGGGGAAUCUUGGACAAAGGGCGCAAGCCUGAUCCAGCCAUGCCGCGUGAGUGAAGAAGGCCUUCGGGUUGUAAAGCUCUUUCGGCUGGGAAGAAAUAGCACCCUCUAAUCCAGGGUGUGGAUGACGGUACCAGAAUAAGAAGCAACGGCUAACUACGUG